Molecule: ribosomal RNA, 507 nt
Filed under: uncultured Lachnospiraceae bacterium
Lineage: Bacteria; Bacillati; Bacillota; Clostridia; Lachnospirales; Lachnospiraceae
Description: bacterial SSU rRNA
Rfam family: Bacterial small subunit ribosomal RNA
Source: RNAcentral
CGGUCGAUUUAAUUUAACUCUAGUGGCGGACGGGUGAGUAACGCGUGGGUAACCUGCCUUAUACAGGGGGAUAACAGUCAGAAAUGGCUGCUAAUACCGCAUAAGCGCACAGAGCUGCAUGGCUCGGUGUGAAAAACUCCGGUGGUAUAAGAUGGACCCGCGUUGGAUUAGCUUGUUGGUGGGGUAACGGCCCACCAAGGCGACGAUCCAUAGCCGGCCUGAGAGGGUGAACGGCCACAUUGGGACUGAGACACGGCCCAGACUCCUACGGGAGGCAGCAGUGGGGAAUAUUGCACAAUGGGGGAAACCCUGAUGCAGCGACGCCGCGUGAAGGAAGAAGUAUCUCGGUAUGUAAACUUCUAUCAGCACGGAAGAUAGUGACGGUACCUGACUAAGAAGCCCCGGCUAACUACGUGCCAGCAGCCGCGGUAAUACGUAGGGGGCAAGCGUUAUCCGGAUUUACUGGGUGUAAAGGGAGCGUAGACGGUGUGGCAAGUCUGAUGUGAA